Gallus gallus (chicken) is the source of this 366-nucleotide long non-coding RNA. The record is from Ensembl. NCBI's taxonomy places the organism in Eukaryota, Metazoa, Chordata, Aves, Galliformes, Phasianidae.
CAAUUGACUGGAAAGAAGAGGGGAGCAUGUUGUCAGUCCAGAUGCUGAAGAAUUAAUUUUGUGUUCUGGUGUCUCAGACAAUGGGAAGAUUUCCAUUACAAGUAGAAGAGAAGAGGUAUAUCAUCACGGAAUCACAGAAUAUUUGAAGUUGGAAAGGACCCAUAAAGAUAAUUGUCCAGACAUUUAUUGAACUCUGCUUGCUCUGGGCUGUGACCACUGCCUAGGGGAGCGUGUUCCAGUGCCCAUCAACUGUCUUAGUGAAGAACCUUCUUCUGAUAUCCAACCUGAACUUCCACUGUGACAGUUUCAUGGCAUUCACUGAAGUUUUAUCACUGGUCAAUAUUAGUAUUAAAGACUGUAUUUAGU